RNAcentral lists this ribosomal RNA (443 nucleotides) under uncultured bacterium. RNAcentral describes it as "partial 16S ribosomal RNA". It matches the Rfam family "Bacterial small subunit ribosomal RNA", at positions 338 to 795 of the family's 1533-position model. The record is from RNAcentral.
CCUACGUGCGGCAGCAGUGGGGAAUAUUGGGCAAUGGGCGCAAGCCUGAACCAGCAAAGCCGCGUGAAGGAAGAAGGCUCUAGGGUUGGAAACUUCUUUUCUCAGGGACGAAGAAAGUGACGGGACCUGAGGAAUAAGCCACGGCUAAAUACGUUCCAGCAGCCGCGGUAAUACGUAGGUGGCAAGCGUUAUCCGGAUUUACUGGGUGUAAAGGGGGUGUAGGCGGGACUGGAAGUCAGAUGUGAAAACCACGGGCUCAACUUGCGGCCUGCAUGUGAAACUGUGGUUCUUGAGUACUGGGGAGGCAGACGGAAUUCCUGGUGUAGCGGUGAAAUGCGUAGAUAUUAGGAGGAACACCAGUGGCGAAGGCGGUCUGCUGGACAGCAACUGACGCUGAGGCGCGAAAGCGUGGGGAGCAAACAGGAUUAGAUACCCGAGUAGUC